ACUCAAAGGAAUUGACGGGGACCCGCACAAGCAGCGGAGCAUGUGGUUUAAUUCGAAGCAACGCGAAAAACCUUACCAAGACUUGACAUCGUAUGACCGCCAUAGAGAUAUGGAAUUCCCUUCGGGGACAUAUAGACAGGUGGUGCAUGGUUGUCGUCAGCUCGUGUCGUGAGAUGUUGGGUUAAGUCCCGCAACGAGCGCAACCCUUGUGAAUAGUUGCCAAUAUUAAGUUAGGAACUCUAUUCAGACUGCCGUGGAUAACACGGAGGAAGGUGGGGAUGACGUCAAAUCAUCAUGCCCCUUACGUCUUGGGCUACACACGUGCUACAAUGGCUAUUACAAAGAGCAGCGAAAUGGUAACAUGAAGCGAAUCUCACAAAGAUAGUCUCAGUUCGGACUGUGGGCUGCAACCCGCCCACACGAAGUAGGAGUUGCUAGUAAUCCCGAAUCAGCAUGUCGGGGUGAAUGCGUUCCCGGGUCUUGUACACACCGCCCGU
Molecule: ribosomal RNA, 497 nt
Filed under: uncultured bacterium
Lineage: Bacteria
Description: bacterial SSU rRNA
Rfam family: Bacterial small subunit ribosomal RNA
Source: RNAcentral